This 649-nucleotide ribosomal RNA is filed under the name Bacillus sp. AW. Its description in RNAcentral is "bacterial LSU rRNA". It matches the Rfam family "Bacterial large subunit ribosomal RNA", at positions 1 to 641 of the family's 2925-position model. The record is from RNAcentral. Lineage: Bacteria; Bacillati; Bacillota; Bacilli; Caryophanales; Bacillaceae.
GUUUGGUUAAGUUAGAAAGGGCGCACGGUGGAUGCCUUGACACUAGGAGUCGAUGAAGGACGGGACUAACGCCGAUAUGCUUCGGGGAGCUGUAAGUAAGCUUUGAUCCGAAGAUUUCCGAAUGGGGAAACCCACCAUACGUAAUGGUAUGGUAUCCUUGCCUGAAUACAUAGGGUAAGGAAGACAGACCCAGGGAACUGAAACAUCUAAGUACCUGGAGGAAGAGAAAGCAAAUGCGAUUUCCUGAGUAGCGGCGAGCGAAACGGAACAUAGCCCAAACCAAGAGGCUUGCCUCUUGGGGUUGUAGGACAUUCUAUACGGAGUUACAAAGGAACGAGGUAGACGAAGCGACCUGGAAAGGUCCGUCGUAGAGGGUAACAACCCCGUAGUCGAAACUUCGUUCUCUCUUGAAUGUAUCCUGAGUACGGCGGAACACGUGAAAUUCCGUCGGAAUCUGGGAGGACCAUCUCCCAAGGCUAAAUACUCCCUAGUGAUCGAUAGUGAACCAGUACCGUGAGGGAAAGGUGAAAAGCACCCCGGAAGGGGAGUGAAAGAGAUCCUGAAACCGUGUGCCUACAAAUAGUCAGAGCCCGUUAAUGGGUGAUGGCGUGCCUUUUGUAGAAUGAACCGGCGAGUUACGAUCCCGUGC